RNAcentral lists this ribosomal RNA (477 nucleotides) under uncultured organism. RNAcentral's name for it is "partial 16S ribosomal RNA". It matches the Rfam family "Bacterial small subunit ribosomal RNA", at positions 329 to 797 of the family's 1533-position model. The record is from RNAcentral.
ACGUACACUCCUGCGGGAGGCAGCAGUGGGGAAUUUUGGACAAUGGGCGAAAGCCUGAUCCAGCAAUGCCGCGUGCAGGAUGAAGGCCUUCGGGUUGUAAACUGCUUUUGUACGGAACGAAAAAGCUCCUUCUAAUACAGGGGGCCCAUGACGGUACCGUAAGAAUAAGCACCGGCUAACUACGUGCCAGCAGCCGCGGUAAUACGUAGGGUGCGCGCGUUAAUCGGAAUUACUGGGCGUAAAGCGUGCGCAGGCGGUUAUGUAAGACAGAUGUGAAAUCCCCGGGCUCAACCUGGGAACUGCAGUUGUGACUGCGUGGCUAGAGUACGGUAGAGGGGGAUGGAAUUCCGCGUGUAGCAGUGAAAUGCGUAGAUAUGCGGAGGAACACCGAUGGCGAAGGCAAUCCCCUGGACCUGUACUGACGCUCAGGCACGAAAGCGUGGGGAGCAAACAGGAUUAGAUACCCGAGUAGUCCCA